GCACUGAAAAAAGUUAUUAAAUUUCAAAGUUCAAAUGCUUGGCAACUGCUCAUAUUUAUGACCAUUCCAGUGUUCCAAGGUCAUGGGAUUUCCUUUUUCGACCUUCUGACAAGCAAAGUCAAUGGGGAAGCCAGAUUCACUUAACAACCAUGUUAC
Molecule: non-coding RNA, 156 nt
Organism: Pseudonaja textilis
Lineage: Eukaryota; Metazoa; Chordata; Lepidosauria; Squamata; Elapidae
Source: RefSeq, a predicted model, not a curated record